Lingula anatina is the source of this 268-nucleotide long non-coding RNA. Lineage: Eukaryota; Metazoa; Brachiopoda; Lingulata; Lingulida; Lingulidae. The record is from RefSeq and is a predicted model, not a curated record.
AUCGGACAAGAUCGAGUUACCCAGGCCAAGGAAAUACAGCGAGAUAGACGUCGGCUACACAUUCAAGACCCAUCAGUAUAUUCCGAGUAAAGAGCUGUUGAUGCAGGAGUUUUCCAGACCGGUUCAGAGGAAACACCUCAGCGGACGACCACCUCAACCUCUCCCUGUUAAAGAAAGAUCUAAUACCACGUGGCAGACCGAAUCCUCAGGUUCAGGUGAAUAUGCCAUACCAGGUGAACAAACGCCAGAGCCUCCCCCUAGACCCGAU